UACAGAGGGGGCAAGCGUUAUUCGGAAUUAUUGGGCGUAAAGGGCGCGUAGGCGGCCGUGCAAGUGGAUGGUGAAAUCCCCAGGCUCAACCUGGGAACUGCGUCCGAUACUGGAUGGCUUGAAUCCGGGAGAGGGAUGCAGAAUUCCAGGUGUAGCGGUGAAAUGCGUAGAUAUCUGGAGGAAUACCGGUGGCGAAGGCGGCAUCCUGGACCGGCAUUGACGCUGAGGAGCGAAAGCCAGGGGAGCAAACGGG
This 253-nucleotide ribosomal RNA is filed under the name uncultured bacterium. RNAcentral's name for it is "partial 16S ribosomal RNA". It matches the Rfam family "Bacterial small subunit ribosomal RNA", at positions 524 to 776 of the family's 1533-position model. The record is from RNAcentral.